Ipomoea nil (Japanese morning glory) is the source of this 1314-nucleotide long non-coding RNA. RefSeq lists it as uncharacterized. The transcript has 2 exons. Lineage: Eukaryota; Viridiplantae; Streptophyta; Magnoliopsida; Solanales; Convolvulaceae. The record is from RefSeq and is a predicted model, not a curated record.
UCCCUGAGCUGCGCUCCUCAUUCUCUCUAAACCCUCAUUUCUCCGUGCCGGAUUCAUGAAAUGAAAGCAUAGAUCGCGUAUAUUCAUGAAAUGAAACCGUAGAUCGUGUAUCGUCUAUCACUAUUUCUACCUUGCGAUUUCUGAAAUCGUUUCUCAUUCAUGAAAUGAAACCGUAGAUCGUGUAUCGUCUAUCACUAUUUCUACCUUGCGAUUUCUGAAAUCAUUUCUCCUAACAAUUCCGACCUGGAAUUUGUGUUUACCGGCGUCCGGCAGCGGAUCUGUUUUAUCUAAGAACAAAUCUUUAAAUUACAUUACUGGCGACCGGCAUUGCUAGCCUCAAGAUAAGUCGAUUCUUCCUUAGAUUUUAAUUUUUAUAAAAAAUAUUUUCAUUUUUUGCAAUUAUGUAAUUCGUACAAAUCCCCAAAUUGAGUUUAGGGUUCAUUCAAAUUCUGUCAAAGUGAGUUUACGGUUUGGUGGAAAUUUAAAACUGUAUUAUUUAAUUUUAUAUCUAUAUUAGUGAUUUGUAUACAUGUAUAUGUAUAUACAGUUUUUUUUAGCAUAUACAUUGUACUAUCUUCAAAAACUAUUUUAUACGGAGUACAAAUUUUAUUUAUAUAAAGGUACAUGAAUAAUGUUUGUUACUUCUUUUCCAAACUAAAUGAUCCAUGCAUGCCCCUCAUUUAGAAUGACUUCCAUAUAUUUGAUUACUGAAACUGUCCUUGCCUUUUGAUUGUGUUACAGUUGUACCUGAUGGCUAUAUGCAAUGUUUUUCUUGUAGUACCUGAAAUUUUAAGUAGGACAAAAGAAAAAAAAAAUACAACUAAAGGAAGGUACGAAGAGAACUGGUGAAGAAUGAGAGAAUGCAUAGAGGCCUCUAAAAGAGAAAUAUUGCUUUCUGUCAAAACAAAAUAAGUUUAAGGAAUACCUGUGUAUCAACGUGCUUUUUCAAGUCCUUUGAAUUCUGGGCUUUGGAUUUCUGUAGAAUUGGAUUUAACAAUGAGCCAAAUUAUGCAGCGCCUUGAACACCCACACGAACUCCACUGUUUGCUUGGAUUGUGGGUUAUGCAUCUAGAUGAAACUUUGAAGUUUUUCCCUACAUUUGCUGUGGAUUGAAGAUUGUAUUUAUAGGAUAGUUAUUUUGGAUACCAAAGAGUCUCACUGGAAAUCAGGAUACUUAUUUUGCAAUUAUUGUGGAUACUAAAGAGUCCAUGUGGACAUCAAUACUUAUUUUCAAUUACAUUGCAGAUACCAAAUAGUCAUUCAAUAAAUGUAAUCUAAUGACUUUAAUAAAUGUAUUUGGCUGGAGCUUAUUCA